AGUGAACGCUGGCGGUAGGCCUAACACAUGCAAGUCGAACGGCAGCACAGGAGAGCUUGCUCUCUGGGUGGCGAGUGGCGGACGGGUGAGGAAUACAUCGGAAUCUACUUUUUCGUGGGGGAUAACGUAGGGAAACUUACGCUAAUACCGCAUACGACCUACGGGUGAAAGCAGGGGACCUUCGGGCCUUGCGCGAUUGAAUGAGCCGAUGUCGGAUUAGCUAGUUGGCGGGGUAAAGGCCCACCAAGGCGACGAUCCGUAGCUGGUCUGAGGGGAUGAUCAGCCACCCUGGAACUGAGACACGGUCCAGACUCCUACGGGAGGCAGCAGUGGGGAAUAUUGGACAAUGGGCGCAAGCCUGAUCCAGCCAUACCGCGUGGGUGAAGAAGGCCUUCGGGUUGUAAAGCCCUUUUGUUGGGAAAGAAAUCCAGCUGGCUAAUACCCGGUUGGGAUGACGGUACCCAAAGAAUAAGCACCGGCUAACUUCGUGCCAGCCGCCGCGGUAA
Molecule: ribosomal RNA, 506 nt
Filed under: uncultured bacterium
Lineage: Bacteria
Description: partial 16S ribosomal RNA
Rfam family: Bacterial small subunit ribosomal RNA
Source: RNAcentral